RNAcentral lists this long non-coding RNA (16539 nucleotides) under Musa acuminata (dwarf banana). RNAcentral's name for it is "long non-coding RNA (MACU_LNC003497)". The record is from RNAcentral. Lineage: Eukaryota; Viridiplantae; Streptophyta; Magnoliopsida; Zingiberales; Musaceae.
UCUGCAGUAUCCUUUCCAAUUGCGCAUGGCAGGAAACAGAUACAAGACAAUUUGCUCUUUCACUGAUAAGAAAGGGGGAAAGAUCAAUAUGGUGUUCUAAUAAAGAACUUCAAAUCGGAAGACUUGCCAUUUUCUGAAGUUAUAGGAGCACCUUGUCAACAGCUAGUUCUAUUGGCUAAAAAAAAGGUAACAAUCAAGGUUGGUGGACUUCAACACAUGUGACAAACAAAUUUAUUUGAAGACAAACUACAAGAAGAAAAAAACAAAACAAAAAAAAGCAUCAAUGCUAUUCCUAACAUUACUUUGUAACACGUCUCACUACCUGGGACAGAGCCCUUCCCAAGUAAUAAAAUAGUUACAAACUGGGGAACCUUAGACUUUUCUUUUGAAACACUCCCUUACUUUUUCUCAUUACUUAUUGGUCUCUCUCUCUCUCUCUCUCUCUCUCUCUCUCUCUCUGUGUGUGCAAAGAACCAUGUCAUGGGACUCAGAAUCAAUCUCGAAUCAUUUGGAAUAAUAUCUUUGCUGGUAAAACUGCACAUAUUAAUGCUCUCUAGACCCCACAUUGAUUGGCAUAGUAUUUUUAAUAGGUGUCAGAGCGCUCGCCUAGGAGCGAGGUGAGGUAAGGCUUGAGUGCCUCACACAACCUCUAGGCGAGGCACUUCGAUGAAGCACCACUUGGGUGCCUUGGGCAAGCGCUCAAGUUAAGAGGCAAGUUGGUACUAGGUGGGGUUAAUGCUUGGUUCAAUUGAACAAGCAAGUUGGUUCAAUCAAACCAACUAAAGUGCCCUAACCCCCCCACCCCAAUUGUCCGAUGCAGCUUCGAAACCCUACAUUCGCUACCGCAACUCCCUCCAUUGCCAUCGCCUUCGUUCGAAGCUUCCUUCGCCAUCGUCACCUUCAUUCGCAACUUCCUCCGUCGUUGCCGACUUCAUCUGCAACUUCACCGCCUUCGUUCAUAUCUUCCUCCGCUGCCGCUGCCUUCGUCUACUGCUUCCUCCGUCGCCACCACCUUCAUCCUUUGCUUCCUCGACUGCCCUCUCCCCCAACUUCCUGCAUAGCUGUUGAAUACUCCUCCUUCCUCCAUAUAUAUAUAUAUUUAUUUAUUUAUUUAUUUAUUUUGUAAUGCCUCACUUUGCUUGGGCAAGUGCCUAGUGCCUCAGGCGUUAUGAGAUCUUGGUGCCUUGCACUUUUAAAAUCACCAGGUUGGCACCUAUUACAUUAAGCCAUCCUUUUUAAAUCAACUUUGCUAAUUACAAUGUCACUAGAGAUUUCGAAUCCAUUAAAGAAAUAUGUUGAAAUCCUUGUCAUGGUUGAAUUUGUAAUAUCAUGUUAAAAAUCUAGUAUUGAACCCCCACAAUAGGUUAUGCCACCCAAGAUACGAUAUUGAUUUGAGGGGUCACAUCCAUGAAUUCUAGUAGUAUCAUUCAAAAAUAAUUUCUCAUAAAUGAGCAACACAAUAAAGAAUAACGUAAACAAAAUGACAAAGCUUAACAAAAGAAUUUUUGCAUUAAGAUUAUUGGCUAAAGAUGAGAUGUAAAUAGCAUUAGGUUAGAAAAUGGAAUUCACAAAUCAAGGGUCACUUUAAGGAGAUGAAACUACUAUGAAAACAAUGGACAUCAAAUUCCUUGUUUUCCUCUGGCACCCUGAGAAUAUAUUGCAUAACCAUUGCAUUAGGUUUUGCCAAAGAGUGCUAGCUAGGCAUGUGAAAUAGUUUCUAAAGAUAGUUCAUAGGUUCACCAAAAUGGUGCAUUUGAAAGAUUCUUUAUGUACGUAAUGUAGCAGAUUUGUUUCCCUAGCAUGCCUAGGCCACUUAAGUAGGGACAUAAGUUUUUGAGUCAUUCUUGGAGAAUCUAAGGGUACUAAAUGGUGAAAACUAGGAUUCAAUAGAGAAACAGGCCACUGUGCAUGUUGCUAUUUCUUAUCUAUUGGCAUGGUCAUCCCAAUUUUAGAAUGCAAGUUGAUCAGUGAGAACAACAUAGAGGAAAAUCAGCACAGAUCAACACAUAUCAUGCCAGAUAAUUAUUAGAACAUGACAUCCUAAUUGUACUGCAGGUACUAGCACAUGGCCGGACCAAUUUUUAUUAUGUGUUGAAUGAUACAUGAGCAUGCCAACUGACAAAAGCAUGUAAUUGUACUAUACCAAGAAGGUACUAGCACACCUUGCGCCAACAAAUGUCAAUCCUCGAGUAUGCCUUUGCUCUAAGGCUUUUUCUUGUAGAGAUGUAUGAAAACCAUCUUAAAGAGGGUGGGUUUGCCAAACACAACAGAAUUGAAAUGGAUAUUUAGUUGAGUUUGCUCCAAGACUGUCCGCAUGAGAUUUAACUUAAUUGUAUUCUAAGAUUUAAUCUUAGCUAGCUGAAUGUUAGAUAAGAUAUCUGAUGCGUGUUCUAGCUUCUUGCUAUUUUUGUCUCAAUUUGCAUGUUAUAAAAUUUCUUCUUGUGUGCUGUCCAUUUCAAAAUGAUCACAUCACUUACCUGGUCAGAAAAUAAAAAUUCCAGGAUUUUCUAUCCGAAAAGACUGAUGGGCAUCCAACUCAUGAAUCCUGAGGACUUCAUAACUUGCAAACUAAUACAUACUUGGCAAAGGAUGAAAAUGCACAAUGAAAAUCCCAGGAACUUCUAUCCAAAAAGACUGAUGGGCAUCCAACUCAUGAAUCCUGAGGAAUUGAUAACUUGCAGACUAAUAUAGACUUGGAAAAGGAUGAAAAUGCACAAUUCAACUUAACAUUAGAAUCUAAGAUACAAUGAGGAACAAACAUCAAAUACAAUCCUUAAUAAGACAAAAAGCAAUCCUAAAACAAUUUAGGGCAGCCACCUAUGUUGAACUAUCACAUAUUGUAUUAAUUGACAAUUAGAUACUGUUAUAUAAUUGUAACAAAACCAUUUAAUACUUAAAUACAUACCUUAGCAAAUUCCAAUAGCUGAGACCAGGUGUCUCUCGAUAUUGCUUUGUUAUGCCUCACCUGAUAAUGACAAAAUGGAUUAGACAUCACCUGUUGCACAGAAUAUUAGAGGCACAAGCCACGAACUAGACCUAAGUAAUCAACUUCAUUAAGGUGCUGCAAAAGCAUGAAAAAGCAAACAACAAACUAAAUCCAUGUAUCCCUCGGAGGGAAUGAAACAUCUAUCAUGCCAUAAUUGCAUAAGUGUUCUCUAAUGUUAAGAAAAUUCAUCCAAGAAUGAAAUGAAACCUGGUGAAAUGGUAGCUGAAAAAACCUACCUGUAAGAACUGGCACCAAUGGUCAACUAAAGGCCAGUGCCUUUCUGCAAACAACAACUGCCACAUGCCAAUAGCUGUAUCAAGUGCUAGAGAUUUUUGACCCUGCGAUGAUUGGAAAGAAAGCCACUUUCAAUAUUAUCUUUAAAAAUCUCAAAAAUAAAUAAAUUAUACCUUUGAGCAUGAGGUAGGGAAGUAACUCAUGUUUGUAUUAUUUAAUAACAGGCGUUCCACAUGAAGUAUGAACAGGAGGAAAGAAUAAAAUGAACUGCAAAUCCAAGCAUAAACAUAGUGUACUCAUGUGUUGUUGCUUGGGAAUGGGCAACAACUUGGAUACAACAACCAAAAUUCAAGGUCAAUGUGAGCCUAAAGGUCUUGCAGCUAUGAUCAACCUCAACAUUGCAAAGGAUAAUGCAUGAGACAUUGACCCAAGAGAUACAGAGUUUUGAAAGCUCAAAGACAUCACAGUACCUGCCACCAUCCAAAAAACACCACUUUGCUGGGCACACAUCACCAAGCUUAAUGGCUAUGAUAUCAUCGUAUCAUAACCUGAGUCGGAGCCUGAGUUGGAAGCACAUGAGCUUGUCACCAACACCUAUGUGAUGUCAUUUGGAGAUAGAUAAUGCCCAAGCUAUAUCUCAUAGUUGAUGCAUAAACAGCGGUCACAAAAUCCCACCAUGAUAUCCAUGAAGUAUCAGUAGGCAGGAAAUAGAAUUUGAAGGCCCGUGAAUUCACCAAGAAAUCUACAUCCAUCCCAAACCAUAACCAGUGAUUUAAAAAGCGCUAGGCGCCAAAAGGCGGCAAGAUCCAAAAACACCCGAGGCGCUAGGCGCUCGCCUAAGCGCUCGCCCGAGCGAAGCGAGGCGCUAAAAUAUAAAAAUAUAUAAUAUAAUUAAUAUAAUUAUUUAAAUAAAAAAUAUGCUAUUAAAUUAAGAAAAUCGAGUACAAAAUCACAAUAUCAUAUUAAUAAAAAGUCUCAAAAAUUAAAACAAUAAAAUUUUACAUCAAAUCUAUUGAGUUACUCUGUACGCUUGCCAUUUAUUCUGAAACCUAACAAUAAUUUUAAAUAAAUAAAAAUUAAUAGUAUUAAAAUCAAAAUAAUAUAUUAUUAAUAUAAUAAAUAAAAAAUACUAUUAUUAGUAUACAGUUAACAGUAUACUGUUAAUAUACUGUUAACAGUAUAGUGAGAAGAGUGUGAGAAGACUGGGAGCGGGAGCGGGAGCGACGAGCGAUAGCGGGAGUGGGAGCGGGAGCUGCGAGCGGCAGUGGGAGUGGGAGCGGGAGCUGCGAGCGACGAGCGACGACAACAGCGAUGAGUGACAAUUGUGGCAGCGGCGAGUAGCGACAAUGGCAGCAACAGCGGCAGCAGAGAGCAGCGACAACGGAGAAGAAAUCUCGACGGCAAAAUCGCAAGUGUUAAGGUUGGGGAAGUCGGGGAAAUCGUGAGAGGGAGCCUAUCGGUGAUUUAGUUGGUUCGAUUGAACCAACUAAAGCACCGGAGACCGAACCAGACGUAAAACACUGGUUCGGUCGCCUGGUUUAACCCGGGCACUCGCCCGAAGCGCCCGACGCCUAGGCUCGGGCGAGCGCCUAGGCGGCGCCUCGUUGAAGCGAGGCGCUUGGACAUGAAGCGAGGCGCUCGGGCCUCGCCUCGCCCGAGCGCCUAGGCGAGCGCCCGAGCGCCUAUUGAAAUCACUGACCAUAACCUAGUCAAACCAAAGUGUGUAAAAGGAUUGCAUAGAUUAUGAUCUUAAUGCCAUAUUGGCUAAUGGAUUUGUACCAUUUUAUAUGGACAACCAUGUGGACUUUGACACUGAAAGUACUCAAGUGUUACUAUUUGGGACAGCAAUGAGUUUAAAACUAUAUCAGUGCAUGCUUCAAGAUAUUGUAGAUGUAGGUCUCACACAGAUACCCAUGUCAAUAGAAAUGAAGUACAUGUUGCACAUAUCAUACCAAAAAAAUGGUAGAAUAAUGCCCACAUCAUGUUGACAUGAUACAAUAGUUACUGCCCAACAUCCCUAAUCUGUGAAUGUCAUAAAAAGGCAUGUCAAAAUUAUUGCUCCAUAAAAUAACUUCAGUAGCCUCAACACUCAACCAGUUUACAUUGGAAUUUGGCAUUGGACUUCUUUGAUCCCAGAAAAGGAAAAGGGAGGAGUCUCUUGAUUCAAAUUAAGGGACCCAAGAAGAGAAGGGAGCGGGUGAUCCACUGAAGGAUCAGUAUGGCAUGUCUGAUCUUAUCAACCCUAGCUAUGAUCCAAAGGAGAGUUAUCUAGCAAAGCUGGCAGAUUAUCUAUCAGGUGCAACAAGGUAAACCAUGGUGGAAUGCAAUCUCAAGACAGAUUGCUUGAUUUCUUCACAUGAAAGGAACAUAAGAAAAAAGAAGAGGGAAGAGAAAAAAAAAAGAAUAUGACUAGAAUGAACAAAAAUAGAAAGAGAAAACAAAAGAAAGAUAAUGAAAUAAAUAAUUUAGAAUUAUUCUAUAAAAUUAUCAAUUAUGUAAGAUAAACAAACAUAUAUAUAAGUUGUAAAAUUACAUAAAAAUGGUAGUACUUUAGGUGUUUAACCAAGAAAAUUGAAAACUGAACUUUCCAAAAUAGAUACACAAACUUCAAAUGAAAAAAAACAAAAGUCUGAUAAUUAUAGGUAAAACCAGAGAUGAGCAGUGAAACUUAAUAUUAAAUACACUGAAUAUUAAUUAAUGGUGAAUUUGAUGGGAUGUUAAAUAAAUCAAAUUCAGUAACAAAGUGUACUAAAUUUGAUGGGAUGUGAAAUAAUUAGUAUGUGGUACGAGGUGAGGUAGAGUUAGUGGCGUGAGGUGAGAUAGAAGAAGACCUUAAAAUAUUUUAAUUGAGACUAAAAAUAAAAAUUUUAAUAUUCUUAAUUUAACUAACCCGAAGAUGUUUUACGUGCCUCCAUGGUAGCAAAAAAUAUCGAUAUGGUCGGCCCCAAAUACUUGAGACUUGUAGCUUUAUUAUUAUAGUUAUUUUUCAGCAUUUUUAAAUUCGAUUGCCAUAUGACUAAAUUCAUCUUUCCUUUAGAUGUCACAAAAUUCCCUUUCAAACUUGUGGACACAUGAAAACAACCAAGUCGACCAGACUCAAGGACGUUGAAGAAACUAUCUUUGAGAAAAUAAUGAAUCUUAAAAUGCCUUUCUCAAUACUGACAGUGAUUACAGCAUCUAUCAAUAUUUUUAAUUUUGAGUACCAGACCUAUACUGGUCCUAACCUAGACUGGUAUGGGUCCGAGCCGUACCAGCACAUUGCGUCGGUAAGUCAGAAUGUACUGAAUUUUGAAAAAACCUAAAAAAAGGUUGAACGAUAGAAAAGUUACCAGUACAGGACUUGUACCACAUGGUACAGGCCUUAUACCAGACGUACCAGGUGGCUCAAGCCCUAUAUCGGAAGCCUAGUACACGUGCCCAUAGUGUUGAACUGAUAAGCACCACCAGUACCAAACUAUAAGGAUGGUAUUACAAAGUACAAACCUUGGCAUACAUCCAAUCCACAGAGAGAAAGAGAGAGAGAGAGUACUAAAAGGGUCACCUAGUUCGCAGAGCUCCCGCCAAUGAAGCUCUAAGAAUGGUGAAUAAACGCAACCUUACCACAACAAGCAAAAUGUUAUGACCCUUUUUUAUCAAACACCAUGGAUGACUUUAUUUGUCGUAUAGCACAUAAUUUGUAAGAUUUUUUGGACACUCCCAUUAGAGCAUAACAUGAAAAUGAUUAUACAUACUUGUGCUUCCAUAAUAUUAUGAAAUAUCAAGUAAUUAAUGAAUUAACAUUUUGUAAAACAUAGCAUUUUGACUGCCUACUUAAAUAAAAUGAAAGAGAUGCUCACUAAACAAAAAUUGGUUGGGUACCUUUUCUUUAGCCCAGCCAAAAGCGAAAUUGUAUAUUUCACGAAAUUUUUCUGGAGGCAUGAAACACAAAAUUUAUUAGAAAAGCUUGAAGAAACGAACAUAAGGCAUGUGUUUCAGUUUUGUUUAUAACAGUGUAUAAAACUUCAAAAUAACUUGAAUAAACAUAUGCCAAGUAGCUUCCAAAAUAGAGAAUGGGACAGAUAACACUCACGUUCAUCUUUUAGCUCACUUCGCAUAUAUGAUAACUUAUCACGAAACUUCUCAAUUGUAUCUAUCCUGCAUCAAAACAUUUUACUUUCAACACAAACAAAUUGUAUCUUCAUAUGUCAAAACUCCUCCAACCUACUCAGAAGAUGAAAGAAUAAGCAACUCAGUGAGGCCAAAUAUUACCCAAGAUAUUGUAAUCCACCAAUGAAUUCCUGCCGAGAGAACUCACACAUUGUAGCAGCCUUCAUGUGCCAAGAUACAACUAACUGUCGUAAAAGAAACCAAAAGCACACAGCACCUUAUAAUUAGUGUACUGUAAGUGCUUCAGUAAAUCACCAAAGCAAACACAAUGUAAAGUAGAAACUUAGCUGAUCAGAAAAUAGCAGUAGUCUUUAAAUUAUUUAACCACAGUAAACAAAUAAGAAAGCAGCAAGAUAGGAGAAAGUAAGAUAAUGGAAUAAGAAAGAAGAAAAGACCAGAUACACAGAAGUAGGAUUGCAAAAAAACAGAGAAUUCCAGUCCAAAAUCCAAUAAUCCAUUAUGAUCUUGUGAGUCAUUUGAAUCACUAUUCUUCAUCCCACUAAGAAUUCUGAAAAAUACUGGCGUAGCACCAGGAUUCAGAUUUUCCCAUAAUGCCCUUCAGCACUUUAUUGAACAUUCAUUUAUCUCAGAAUAGGAGCCCUAAAUAACAUAAAAUUUCAAGUCAUGCUUGAGCACAAUGAUUGUGUAAGAUCCCAUCAAAUGCUAUGUUUCUCUCUUCUGUUCUGUACCAUAUUUGUUCAACGCAUGAAUCUUGCCUGAAGGUGUCAGGGUGCCUAACCUUGUUAGCCAAGGAAUGUCAUUUCAGGUACUGGACCUGUCUCAGUCCCCUGGGUCAGUCCAGUAUCCAUCAGUCGGGGCCAAUGUACCAACACAUUUCGAGGAGGAAGAAGAAGAAGAGAAAGGAACAUAUGGCGGUGGAGGAAGAGCAAGACGAAGAGGAGGAAGGAGAAGAAAGAAGAAAAAGGAAGAAUAGGAGGCAGUGGAGGAAGGAGGAGGAGAAGAAAAGGAAGCUCCUCAUUUUUUAUCUGAUCCCAAGUUUGAUUGUGGAACUCUUAUAAGUAUGGCAUAAAACAAGAAAAUUGAAUGUUAGUGAUGUAUGACACAUGACAGAAAGGGGUAAAAGGAUAUUAUAGGAUUUAAUUCGGUUCAUGGUCAAUUUUCAAGGUCGCUGAAAUCUUUAAAUCAUAUUUGAUUUUUAUGAAAGGACAAAUAUAAACUAGGACUAGUAUAAAGGAAGAAGAAAUUUUAGAUGAUCCAUAUACAUACUCACUUUGACUUUGAGAAUCACUCAUAGGAUUAAAAACAAUGGUAACACACCAUUAUGAAGAAAUUUCUUCUAUUGAUCUAAACUCCAAUUGCUUCACCACUUCAUUUGCUUAUAACCUUUUACCCUUCAAAUAGAUCCUCAAUUACAAGCAGAAAAAAGAAAAACAAAAGAACUAAAAAAAGAGUUCACUUAAGAAGAUACUAUUCCAUGAGCCAAGGCUAAUCGAUCACCCACAUUUCAUUCUCAGAAGAACUAUUUUCAAAUUUGUUCAAAAUUCCUUUUUAUACAUAUUCUUUAUUGCUAUUAAUUUCCUUCUUUGGAUAGAAUCUUCAAUUGAGAUCAUUAUUCCUUUUCUUCCAUUUUCAUUUGGCUACUCUUUCUUCCCUUGAACAAUCGUAUAAUUGAAAAUACAUAUGAUGUUGCCAUGUAACAAAUUUUGACAUUUGAAAAAAAAAUAAAACAAAAUUAAAAUUAAUAUAAAACAAAAAUGGUUCCUACACCAAAUAGUUCAUGCUGUAUGGUAAUGAAACACCUCAUGUUUUAAUUAAAAAUACCUCUUUCCUUGCAGACUAAGCAAGCAUAAGAGGAAUGCCGGAGAAGCAACAAAUUAUUCAAACAACUCAUUUUGGACCUUUCCUUUUACAAAUAUCAAGCAUUGAAUGUAAGUUCUUCAUAAGGUAAAAGAUUUAUUACAGUUUCAUGUCAAUCAUUUCAAGUUGUAGCAUGGGACUUGGACUUGCAUUGUCACUCUAGGCCCCUAGAGACUCAAGUCAUGAAACUCUUAUUUUUCACUGGCAAAGAUGUUAAUUAUCCCAAUGGAGCUUUUUGUUGUGCUAAAGUUGUUCAACAUCAUGAAUCUGGAGUCAACAUAAUGAAGGCAUGAAAACUUUGAUUAUCUGAAACCAUGUUGACAGAGCCUCCAAUUAUGAGACAAAUUUAAAAGUAAAUGAAGUAGAGGAAAAUAGAAGAAAGAUAUAAAAAGAUAGAAUAAAUGAGAAAUGAGAAUUGGAGAAAACAAAAAAAUCCAGCAUGUCAUAAAUCAUCAUUAUUAACUCAUAAUUUAUCGGUCAUGAUUUCUCUUAAGACUCAUUGUAGACAAGUAUCCUAGUCUUAGAAUAAUUCCCAACAAAUCUAAAUGACCCUAAAACUUUACAAGAAUAUCUGGAACUUCAAAUCACUUCAAGAUACCAUAAAACUCUAUUUUAAUGUUUACAAUCCAGAUGCAGGACAUCAAAGUUUUGACUGGAUCAGGUGAUACAAACACUACCAUAGCUACUUGAACAAUGACAAGAUGGAACCUAAUGAAAAGGGAAGAGAUAAUAUAAAGACCCAUAGGCACUCUAUAAACUUAGUGAAGAGACUGAAUUGAACAAGAACUUAAUAUGACUCAAACGAAACAUGUUCAACACAAGACAAGGUCACAUAUCUACCAUGAAGAACCAAAAUUGAUUAUAUUGCACCAUAAACUACUUCUUCCUUAUUAUAGUGCAAUACAGAAGAAAGUUCGCCAAAUAAAAGUUCUGCCUGCAACUGAAGAGUCUUUGACUGGUGCAGUUAGCAGCUAUCAAAUGACAGACAUAAAGUAUCUAAAAGUUCCUUAGACUAUAAACUUAAUGAAGAGACUGAAUUGAACAAGAACUUAAUAUGACUCAAACGAAACAUGUUCAACACAAGACAAGGUCACAUAUCUACCAUGAAGAACCAAAAUUGAUUAUAUUGCACCAUAAACUACUUCUUCCUUAUUAUAGUGCAAUACAGAAGAAAGUUCACCAAAUAAAAGUUCUGCCUGCAACUGAAGAGCCUUUGACUGGUGCAGUCAGCAGCUAUCAAAUGACAUACAUAAAGUAUCUAAAAGUUCCUUAGACCAAGAUUUGACAAAAGGCAACUUUUGGCUAGAUAAAGCCAUCUACUUGCAAACAUUAACAAGCCAAGCUUGACUAACAGAUUCUAUUAGGCACAGAUCAACUUGUUUAUGGCAUAAACAGAGCUGUUCACAAACAGAUCAAUUUCAAAAACCUUCCACCAUACUAAGUGCUAAAAUCAACAGUCUUUUUAACAACCAUGCUAUGACAGAAAAAAUAACAAGAAGGUAUGCCCACUUUAUCAAUUAUGCUAGCCUAGAGCAUAGAACCACAAAUGAUCCAAUAAAGUGAGAAUAUUAUCAGGAUGAACAUUCAUGAGUACCUUACAAUGUCAAAGAACAACAUAUAGUGAUAACAGUUCACCAAAAGCAUCUUUACCAAUAGAUGCUGCUACAUUAAGGCCCAAACUCAUGCUGAUAUAAUCAUGCCUACAUAGUUCAGAAUGGCACUGUACCAUGGAGUCCAAUAGAAGCAUGGCAUAUUAUAAUUUAAAAUGAAGAGGAUAACAUGCCGUACACAGAACUAUAAUCACACUCAUAAAACUCAAUUUUGUCUCGACCAAUUCAUACCGGCCCAUAUAUACAGGUCUCAGCAUGAACCAGGAAACAUACCAGCCCUUUUUUGGGCAAUUGAAUCCCUUUUUUUGGCAUGACCUGCAGCAGUGCAACUUAUGGUUUAAACAUGGCAGGCAAUCGCACGCUGCCACCUGCCUGAACUGCAGGCCCACCCACCUGCCACCUUCUAAUCCACCUUCACCUCCUAUUCUUCUCCUUUUCCUCCAUUCCUCCUCUUCCUCUCUUCCCUCCCGCUCCCCCUCCUCCCCUUUUCUUGGUACAACAGGCAGCACCAACUUACAAUAUACCAUGUGUUAAUAUGCCAACAUUGGCCAGAACAAUACUGGUCCGGUCAUAAAUUAGUAGGGAUCUGGUAACAAAACCAAAGUUACCCCACAAAAAUACCAAAAAGUAAUGCAAAGGACUUAUUCAUGUCAUAUAUGCACUCACCAUAACAAUAUCUUGAGGAUCCACCUGCAAGAACCAACAACAGGUCACUAGCUAUAAGACAAAAGAAACAACAGAACAAGAAAAUUAUACUUAAAAGAUGAAAUGAUCCUUUUGUUAUGCAAGUUAAACAAAAACAAAAAUGAACGCAAUGAAAAAUUAUAAAAAACAUAUUCCUAUUGAAAAAUUAUAACUAAACUAUUAUAUAUGAGCUAAAAGCUGACAUGUAAAUUAUGAUCAGUUUGUACAAUAGUCAACAGUUCUCCUUCAAAACUUUUUUAUUCUGCUCAAUCUGAACAAGUCCCCUUUAAAACUUAUUAAGAAAGUUGAAUAUAAUUGGUGCCCAAGGAAACAACAAUUUUUAAAAUCUUAAAACUUUGAGCUGCAUAUAUUUUCUUUAAUAAAUAACAUAGUAGUUAUAAUACAUAAACUGACUCCACUGCCAUCACUGUCAAACAUUCCAGAUUUUCCUAGCACCAUUUGUUGGCAUAACAAAACCAGUUCUGACAUAUAUAUUGGUAAUGUGCACAUAAGAGAACAAACUGUAGUGUGCCAUACGAGAAACAACUUAAACAAAUCUUACCUGCAAAUCAUUGCAAAGAAGAGUUAUACCAUCCACCAGUAUCAUAUCAACAUAAGGAUCUGCCACAAUAGAAAAUAUUUCAUUUUAUCACUCCAUGAAGCAUAAGCAUCAAUGAUGCAACAGCCAGUUGUAUUAAAUUACAUAUUUAGACAGACAACAAUAAGUGAAUGAUUUUCAUGUCAAAUUCUCAAUGAUUAUGCUGGCAAACGAUUGGUUAAAGCACAUCUACAUAAUCACUGAUUAUUCAAUUCUGAAAAAAUCUUAGAAAGAAGUUUACAUCAAUUCAGAGCAAGUAGACCAUGCAAUGAACAUAAAAAAAACAGCUCAAUGUUAUACAUUGCGAGGGCAGGAAAAAACAGGAGAGUAUUUGUGGAAAAUAAUGGACCCAUGUGCCAUUUUUGGACACCAUAAGCUCAUAUUGGGGGUCAUCUUAUGAAAUACUACCAUUGUUUCAAAAUGCAGUCUAUAUGAUCACAUAUGCAUAUGCAGUCAUAUGACUGCAUAUGCAUAUGGUAUUAUUGUAUAUGUGAAAAUUGUCUUACAUAUACGGUUUCCAUAAACAUGGAAAUGUUCUUAUGAAUAUGGUUUAUGUGCAUGUCUCAAUAACUACUAAUAUGGUCCAUAUACAUUCCCGAUACGCAUUGGAUCGGUCCAUCCUGGAAGGUAUUACAUCCAAUGAAGGAUCGACAAAAGGACCAGCUCUUGCACCACCCUCUAUGACCGACUCACCAACCCACUAGGUAUUCCUCUACUCUUGCACCACCUUCUCCACUUCUCUUUCUCCUCAUCCUUCUCCCCCACUUCUCAAUAUUGCCUCACUACCAUACCAACAUAUUGUAUGUCCGUAUGCUGAUAUGUACCAGAUUUGUGUCAGACCAACCAGCAACUUGUAUGGGUCCAAUACCAGAAAUUUUUAACCAUAGUUCAAUAAAUUUUUAACCAUACUAUAAAAGACGGUUUUUAUUUUUUUGGUUUGGACUCAACAUAUAAAUAUACCUAAUUAUGAUUUAAUAAUUCACAUUUAAAAGCACAUUUAAUACAGUACCUUGGCUGCCCUCAUUCUGCAGCCACUUUUAAUAGCAAUAAAAUUACAAUUAUACAUCUGCAUACCACACGCGAUACAAUAUCUUGAACACUGCAUUCAGCAGCAGUUUCUAGAACAGUAAAAUUACAGUUACACAACAUAAUAUACAGUACCUUCACCACUAGCAUUCUGCAGCAUGUUUUAGAACACUAAAAUUAUGGGAUUUUACCAUGUAUCAAAAAUACAAAUACCAAAUGUUUAGAGAAAAUAAAUUUUGUACAAAUUUCACAUGAAGUGAUCAUAAUACAAAAUAUCGAUAUAUCAAAAUGAAACAUGAUCAAUCAUGAUCUAUAUAGCAUCAACAAAUCAAAUAUCAAGAAGUGCCCAUUAAAGGGGUGCCAGGUAAAAAAUAGAGGUUAAAAAGUUAUCUAAAGUGGCUUUAGAUUAAACAUAGUGGUCUAGUGUAAUUUAAGUUGAGCCAGGAAAUCCAUGUUAAAUUCAUCCAGUCACUUAAAGAGCUGUUGGAUAACCCCAUUGAAGCAGUUAUAAUAGCAGCCAAAAGCCAACUAUGUCAAUCAUCAAGCGCCCAAAAGACAAUUUUCAAUUAGCUUCCUCUAUACCUUGUUGACUUACAAACCAAUCAAAAACAUAACACUUUAAAAUAGAAAAUUAAUGUACAAUAAUUUUUACAAUUAAAAAUAUUUAAUUAAAUGAAAUUAUGACCCUUUCAGGACCUGAAACACUUCUACGUGUUCUAUCUCAUGCCUAUAUUUUUUUUUGAAAAUGUUAUGAUAGAAUAUAAUCAACAUCAGCAUUUUUUUUUAAAAGAAAUUUCUACAUGCCACUAAGCGAAAUAAAAAUUAUAUGAAUCAACCAGCUGCAAAAAGAACAGAAAGAGCCUUGUAAACAGAAUGAACUUCAGAACAGUAAGAGAUGACAAUAAAUUAUCAUCUCAACAGUUUGGUAGCUUAUGUUCAAAUUUUUUUAAUCCUCAAGGCUAAAAUAAUAAAUUCAACAAUCAGAAACACUCACUUGCAUGGUCAUGCUCCAAGAAAAAUUGUGCAUUCAGGUUAUAAGAAGCUAUCACGAGCAAGAUGUGACAGUUAUGGCGACAAACAACUUAAGAUGUCUAUAAGACAGUAAAAAGGCAAGGAGACACUGCACAGAUGCUACAGAGGCAAGGUAGAUUAUAAAAUGCAUCAGUACCAACCGGUAUUGGCACCAAACCAAGAUUUUAAUCCUUGCACAAGAUAAAAGUUGGGUGCAAUAACAACAUUCCUUCCAUAAAGUGUUAUAAGUGCAACUUAAUGGCAAUAAACAGCAUGAGUCACACAAACAUCCAGCCAUUUUUUAACAAGAAACAUAGGCACAUGUUGGAAUGGACAGGGCAUAAUAAGUGCAAGAGCAUACAACAAAAAAUAAUUGCUCAAGGAAACUUGCCUUUGUAUCUGUUAUAGAGUUCUUCAAGAUGCCUGGAGUCAGUAACAGUUCUAAUAUGGGGUUGGCUAUAAAAUAUGUCAAAAGCCCCCUCUAAAUGCCAAUCACUGGCUUUCAAAGCCUGAACAGCAGCUUUCUCACUGUGAAAAUUAUAGAAUCAUGUUUAUGGAUGAUUAAAAUAUGCAUAAAAGUAAAAGAAAUGCAAAUCAUGAAAUGUGAAACUUUAAAUAAAAAGAAAGUCAUAAUUAAUCUUGACCGUUGGCAUACUUAGACCAUUAACAUACAUAGACUAUUGUCUACAUCAGAAGCACAAAAGUUAAAAUAACCAAAGAUUCAAAUCUCGAUCCAAUACCAGUCUCGAUAAACCAAUUGGACUGUUGUGAUACCAGUAUACAAGGUGGUAAAGUUGAUGGUGAUAAUCAGUUCUUAAUGUCUGAGUUAUGUUGCUAAAAGUUGGAAAAAGCAUUUAUUUAAACCUAAUGCUAGUAUGAAGACAGAGAUAAAUGAAAAUUGAUACAUGAACAAAUGUAUUAAACCUUAAACUAAAAGCACUUCCCAUCAAAGUAAGACAGGAGGCUAAGGAUCCUAUGAAAAGAAAAGAGCAUGGCUUGAGUGAAUGCAAAUAUAAGCGAUUAGACCCAUGCCGGUCCAGCCAUGGACCAGCAUGGGUCCAAUACCAAAAAUUGGAUUCCUUGUCAAAGACAAAAGUUGUUUAGGUAAACAAGGAGAAACGGUGAUUGUAUUUCCAUAGCAAACGAUAAAAAUAAGCAAUUUAAAACAGAUACUCUUCCUGAAGCAGUCAAGCAGAACACCUUUUUUGUUGAUUGGAUGACAUCAUUAAGGACCAUCACAAGAAAUGUGUAGAACUGAUGUCAUUACUAUCACCACAAGCAAUGUGUAGAACUGAUAUGUCAUUACUAUCACCACAAGCAAUGUGUACAACUGAUAUGUCAUUGCUAUCACGAAUAUUUUGCAUCUCAUUGAAAAAUACUGAUAUUGUAGCUACCAAGUCAUCUGAAUUCUAAACUGUUAUCCACUAAUUACUAUGGCAGCCUUAUCCCAGAUACUGAAAGGCUUUUUCUAUGAUACAUAUCCAUGGUAGCCCUUGUACAGAACUUGGAGAAAAUGUUUCAUGUUUUAGUAAGUGGUAUACCUCGAUCCCGUUAUUGCCAUGAACUGCUGAACUUUGUCUCGAUGUCCUCUUCCCAAUUUAUGCUGUUAAAGAUCAAAAUUAACAUACUUAACUUGAUAACCAUUAAGAACUAAUCCGAAUGUAAUACAGAAUCAUUUGAAAAUUUCACAGACAAGAAAGGCAACGACACAAUAUAAAUCUUCAGGCCUUUUGGAGGUGACAAACUAGCAACGUCAAAUUCCAUGAUCCACCAAAGUUAUGGAAUCUAUAUCCAGAAGGCAAAAGGAGCAAUAUACAGAUAAGUAUAUGAUUUCUGUAACCCUCUUUUCUGAUUUCAUGAAAUCGUUUUACCUUUUUUCAACUAUAUAGAAACCUAUAGACAUAAAUUUAUUGAAAAUGUUAAUACUUCACUUUCCCUUCUUUAAGGCUAAUGAAUCGUCUCGAUGAAAAUCUCACACACUUUCUCUACCUAAACUGUCCUAAUUAUUUAAUAAUAUAAGCUCCAAUUAUCAGCCAAAAUUAAAAUUUUCGAACAUGUCGCCAAAAAUAUAUCUUGAUCAUUACUGCUUUAAGAAAUAAAAAGGCAGAGACAAAAGGAGGAGGAAAACCAGUCCUGAGCUUAAAGAAAAAGGAAAAAAAAGCAGGAUUAGUAAUCGAAAGCCAUAACUAAGAAUCGAAUUCCACACCGAUGAAUGAAACGACAUGAGCACUAACCAUUUUUAUAUCACCGAGCAAACCCUAAUUCGUCUCUCGUUUUUCCUUAUUGAGAAGGGAUCGACGGAAAGGGCGAUUUCGAAGAGAGGAAAAUUAGGAUUUUGGUAGCCUCUUUUUCAGAUUUCUUUCUCUUCUCCUCUCUCGUCGUCGCCUUUUCUUUCCCCCUUCCCUUCUCCUUUCACCUUUUCGCAC